UUCUUUUAGUUAUUUUUAAAAGUACUUUCUGCCCUAUGAAUAAUUAUUUAAAUGGCUGCAGUAUUUUAACUGUACAAAGGUAGCAUAAUAAUUAGUUUUUUAAUUGAGGACUAGAAUGAAUGGAUAUAUGAAAAAUUUAUUUUAUUUUUUUUAUUAUUAUAAUUUUAUUUAUUGGUAAAAAAGCUAAUUUAUAUUUUAGGGACGAAAAGACCCUAUAGAAUUUUAAAAAUUUAACUUUAAUUUUAUUUUUAGGUUUAUUUCUAAUUUAUCAAUUAGUUUUUUUUUAUUGGGGUGAUAAAUAAAUUCUUUAGUCUUUUUUUUUAUUAUUCAUUUAUAUAUGUUAUUUUUUGAUCCUAUAAUUUAGAUUAUAAGAUAAAUUACCUUAGGGAUAACAGCGUAAUUUUAAUUAAAAGUUCAUAUUUAAAUUAAAGUUUGCGACCUCGAUGUUGAAUUAAGGUAAAAUUUUGGUGUAGAAGCUUUAAGUUUUGGUCUGUUCGACCAUUAAAACCUUACA
RNAcentral lists this ribosomal RNA (514 nucleotides) under Collasuyusana retrorsa. RNAcentral's name for it is "partial large subunit ribosomal RNA". The stretch from base 388 to 514 matches the Rfam family "Archaeal large subunit ribosomal RNA", at positions 2542 to 2669 of the family's 2987-position model. Lineage: Eukaryota; Metazoa; Arthropoda; Insecta; Hemiptera; Cicadellidae. The record is from RNAcentral.